GUAUCGGAACGUGCCCAGUCGUGGGGGAUAACUGCUCGAAAGAGCAGCUAAUACCGCAUACGACCUGAGGGUGAAAGCGGGGGAUCGCAAGACCUCGCGCGAUUGGAGCGGCCGAUAUCAGAUUAGGUAGUUGGUGAGGUAAAGGCUCACCAAGCCGACGAUCUGUAGCUGGUCUGAGAGGACGACCAGCCACACUGGGACUGAGACACGGCCCAG
This 216-nucleotide ribosomal RNA is filed under the name uncultured bacterium. Its description in RNAcentral is "partial 16S ribosomal RNA". It matches the Rfam family "Bacterial small subunit ribosomal RNA", at positions 115 to 334 of the family's 1533-position model. The record is from RNAcentral.